GUACAGCUCCGCGCGGCGCGAGCAGGUACGUGCGCCUCGGCAGUGGCUCCGGGCCGGGCCGGGAAGGGGGCGGGAGACCGGGAGGGCGAGGCGGUGGCGGCCAGGCCCGCGCCCUCCGGGCUGCGCCGCAGGAGAGACCCCCGCAGGCGUACGCCGGCUGCAGGAAGGCGGACGGGCACCGGAGAGGACGCACCCUCGCCCGCCGGCGGCCGGGCGCCCUUCGCCCCAGCGUGGUGAGGCGGGGAGGGAGGCCCGGCACAGCUGCCAAGGGGCCAAGGGAUGAGCUGGGGCCCUCCUUCCCAAUGGCAUCUCCCCCUGGUCUGGAACUGAAGACACUGAGCAAUGGUCCCCAAGCCCCAAGGAGAUCAGCUCCCCUGGGCCCAGUGGCCCCAACCAGGGAGGGUGUGGAGAAUGCCUGCUUCUCCUCAGAGGAGCAUGAGACCCAUUUCCAGAACCCUGGGAACACGAGACUGGGCAGCUCACCCAGUCCCCUUGGAGGUGUCUCCUCACUGCCCCGAUCCCAGCGGGAUGAUCUGUCCCUUCAUUCAGAGGAGGGGCCAGCCCU
RNAcentral lists this small RNA (565 nucleotides) under Pan troglodytes (chimpanzee). RNAcentral's name for it is "processed transcript". The record is from RNAcentral. Lineage: Eukaryota; Metazoa; Chordata; Mammalia; Primates; Hominidae.